RNAcentral lists this ribosomal RNA (245 nucleotides) under uncultured bacterium. Its description in RNAcentral is "partial 16S ribosomal RNA". It matches the Rfam family "Bacterial small subunit ribosomal RNA", at positions 524 to 768 of the family's 1533-position model. The record is from RNAcentral.
GACAGAGGGUGCAAACGUUGUUCGGAAUUACUGGGCGUAAAGCGCGUGUAGGCGGCUCUGCAAGUCGGAUGUGAAAGCCCUGGGCUUCACCUGGGAAGUGCAUUCGAAACUGCUGAGCUUGAGUUCUGGAGAGGAUGGCGGAAUUCUCGGUGUAGAGGUGAAAUUCGUAGAUAUCGGGAGGAACACCGGCGGCGAAGGCGGCCAUCUGGACAGUGACUGACGCUGAGACGCGAAAGCGUGGGGAG